CCUACGCGAGGCAGCAGUGAGGAAUAUUGGUCAAUGGACGAGAGUCUGAACCAGCCAAGUAGCGUGAAGGAUGACUGCCCUAUGGGUUGUAAACUUCUUUUAUAUGGGAAUAAAACAGGGUAUGCAUACCCUCUUGUAUGUACCAUAUGAAUAAGGAUCGGCUAACUCCGUUCCAGCAGCCGCGGUAAUACGGAGGAUCCGAGCGUUAUCCGGAUUUGUUGGGUUUAAAGGGAGCGUAGGUGGAUUGUGAAGUCAGUUGUGAAAGUUUGCGGCUCAACCGUAAAAUUGCAGUUGAAACUGGCAGCCUUGAGUACAGUAGAGGUGGGCGGAAUUCGUGGUGUAGCGGUGAAAUGCUUAGAUAUCACGAAGAACUCCGAUUGCGAAGGCAGCUCACUGGACUGCAACUGACACUGAUGCGCGAAAGUGUGGGUAUCAAACAGGAUUAGAUACCCCAGUAGUC
Molecule: ribosomal RNA, 460 nt
Filed under: uncultured bacterium
Lineage: Bacteria
Description: partial 16S ribosomal RNA
Rfam family: Bacterial small subunit ribosomal RNA
Source: RNAcentral